AGUCCAGCUGAUCUUGUUUUAGAAUGAAACCGUCUCCAGGAUGUCCACCGAAGACCAGGACACAGAUCAAAGGAUUUUCUGUCACCUUCUAUUCAGUCACUUUAAAAGACAUAAACUGGGGAUUUGCCAAAAAGAUGCCCAAAGAAAGACAUUUCCUCUCCUUGAAACCCUCCAUGACUGGGGGUUCAUCAGCGACAACCUGUAUGAAGAUUGUCAAGAAUCGUGUAGAAACCUGGUUCCUGUACAAAGAGUGGUGUACAAUGUCCUCCAUGAACUGGAGAAGAAAGCUGAUGGGAGAUUUCUAGAAGCAUUGUUCAGCGAGAACAACAUGAAGGAGUACCCAGACUUACGCUAUGUUUUUGA
Molecule: long non-coding RNA, 363 nt
Organism: Talpa occidentalis (Iberian mole)
Lineage: Eukaryota; Metazoa; Chordata; Mammalia; Eulipotyphla; Talpidae
Exons: 3
Source: RefSeq, a predicted model, not a curated record